This 582-nucleotide ribosomal RNA is filed under the name uncultured bacterium. Its description in RNAcentral is "partial 16S ribosomal RNA". It matches the Rfam family "Bacterial small subunit ribosomal RNA", at positions 356 to 932 of the family's 1533-position model. The record is from RNAcentral.
UGGGAAUUUUGGACAAUGGGCGAAAGCCUGAUCCAGCAAUGCCGCGUGUGUGAAGAAGGCCUUCGGGUUGUAAAGCACUUUUGUCCGGAAAGAAAUCCUUGGCUCUAAUACAGUCGGGGGAUGACGGUACCGGAAGAAUAAGCACCGGCUAACUACGUGCCAGCAGCCGCGGUAAUACGUAGGGUGCAAGCGUUAAUCGGAAUUACUGGGCGUAAAGCGUGCGCAGGCGGUUUGCUAAGACCGAUGUGAAAUCCCCGGGCUCAACCUGGGAACUGCAUUGGUGACUGGCAGGCUAGAGUAUGGCAGAGGGGGGUAGAAUUCCACGUGUAGCAGUGAAAUGCGUAGAGAUGUGGAGGAAUACCGAUGGCGAAGGCAGCCCCCUGGGCCAAUACUGACGCUCAUGCACGAAGGCGUGGGGGAGCAAAACAGGAUUAGAUACCCUGGUAGUCCACGCCCUAAAACGAUGUCAACUAGUUGUUGGGGAUUCAUUUCCUUAGUAACGUAGCUAACGCGUGAAGUUGACCGCCUGGGGAGUACGGUCGCAAAGAUUAAAACUUAAAUGAAUUGACGGGGUCAUAGCUG